RNAcentral lists this ribosomal RNA (429 nucleotides) under uncultured archaeon. RNAcentral's name for it is "bacterial SSU rRNA". It matches the Rfam family "Archaeal small subunit ribosomal RNA", at positions 474 to 903 of the family's 1478-position model. The record is from RNAcentral.
UACCAGCUCUCCGAGUUGUAGGGAUGAUUAUUGGGCUUAAAGCGUCCGUAGCUGGCUUAGCAAGUCUCCUGUUAAAUUCAGCGACCUAAUCGUUGAGCCGCGGGAGAUACUACUAGGCUAGGAGGCGGGAGAGGUCGACGGUACUUUCGGGGUAGGGGUGAAAUCCUAUAAUCCCGGGAGGACCACCAGUGGCGAAGGCUGUCGACUAGAACGCGCUCGACGGUGAGGGACGAAAGCUGGGGGAGCGAGCCGGAUUAGAUACCCGGGUAGUCCCAGCUGUAAACUAUGCGGGCUAGGUGUUGGGGUGGCUACGGGCCACUCCAGUGCCGCAGGAAAGCCAUUAAGCCCGCCGCCUGGGGAGUACGGCCGCAAGGCUGAAACUUAAAGGAAUUGGCGGGGGAGCACCACAAGGCGUGAAGCUUGCGGUUC